GUCAAUAUAGCUCAGUUGGUUAGAGUGUGGUACUAGUAAUGCCAAGGUUGCAGGUUCGAAUCCUGUAUGGGACA
Molecule: non-coding RNA, 74 nt
Organism: Podarcis lilfordi (Lilford's wall lizard)
Lineage: Eukaryota; Metazoa; Chordata; Lepidosauria; Squamata; Lacertidae
Source: the annotation of a GenBank genome assembly